AAUGUUCGAGCUCCUCACCCUAUCUCUAAGGCUGAGCCCGGCCACCCUACGGAGGAAACUCAUUUCGGCCGCUUGUAUCCGCGAUCUCAUUCUUUCGGUCAUUACCCAAAGCUCAUGACCAUAGGUGAGGAUUGGGACGUAGAUCGACCGGUAAAUCGAGAGCCUGGCUUUCUGGCUCAGCUCCCUCUUCACCACGACAGAUCAGCUCAGCGUCCGCAUCACUGCAGAUGCUGAACCAAUCCACCUGUCGAUCUCCCGAUCCCUCCUACCCUCACUCGUGAACAAGACCCCGAGAUACUUAAACUCCUCCACUUGAGGUAGGACCUCUCCCCCGACCCGGAGUUGGCAAGCCACCCUUUUCCAGUCGAGAACCAUGGUCUCAGAUUUGGAGGUGCUGAUCCUCAUCCCAGCCGCUUCACACUCGGCCGUGAACCUACCCAGAAAGAGCUGAAGGUCAGAGCUGGAUGAAGCUAUGAACUGAAACUAUGAAUUGUUUAUGUUAAAUUUAUAUUCAAUCUUUCAGCAUUUAGGUACAUUAUGUGCUUUUUGGCCAUCUCUGCAGGCAAGAGUCAUACAACACAAGUCCACAUCUGUCCAAAAGUAAGGAAAGACUCUGAGACACACGUGCGUUUUUUUGAGACAUUACACAAGAACUUGCCACGGAGUGCUCCCUUGAUGUCCAGGGCACCAUGUUACAGAGAGUUUGUCCCCAAUUCUGUCUCCUUGUUACCAAAGUUUCUUCUUGCAUACCGAACACCAGAGACUGUGCGGCUAUCUCCAGUGCAACUACAGGCAGCAUGCAAGGAUUUCUGUGUUGAUGACCUCAGCGAAUCACAGGUGAAAGCAGUAGAGGAGGAGACCAGGGCCCAGAGCUCAUCAUCCAUCUGGUACAGACAAAGAGCAGGAAGACUAACAGCUUCUAAACUAAAACAAGUUUUGCAGAGCAGUCAGUAAAGACCAUCUAGGGCUUUGAUCAAGUCCAUAUGCUACCCAGUAACACAAAAGCCAUGUACAGCAGCAUUAAGAUAUGGCUAUAAUUUCGAGGCAACAGCCAGAAAGCAGUACGAACAUGUCCAGCGUGAACUCCAUGAAGGCUUUUUCCUGUACGGACAAUGGGCUGUGGCUAAACCAAAAAUAGCCAUACAUGGGAGCCUCAUCAGAUGGAGUCGUUUCAUGUGACUGUCAUGGAACCGGGGUGUGUGAAAUCAAGGGUGUGUCCGAAUCCACAGGAAGGAUUCUUAUGAAUACGGGUGUCAUGGUCUGUGCUGAGCUAACACCUGUUUGUGUUGAGUUUCUCUGUGUGCAGGUGGGUGUGUCCGGAGAGCAGCUGUUGUUGAUCUCCUCAUCAGUGGUCAGGGGAUUUAAGGAGUGUCGGGACAACACAUCAGCGCUGGAUGAUUACUCAGUAUUGGGUACCUUCCAUUCAUCUGCCAAACUUCCACCACCAAGCCAGAGACUCACCGAAUCAUCCUGCUCACCAGCCCGUCACUUGCCCCUGACCGCCUGCUCUCCAACCCCCACCUGCCAUCAGUACAACCUGGACUCCGGUGCUCAGCUCCCAGCCAUUUCCUCUGCCUCUCGCCCGACCAACUCAGCCAGCCUGGCCGUGCCCUCCUCUCAAACUCUCUCUAAAUACCUGGAAACCAACUUCAUCAGAACCUCCCGAAUCCCAUUCAACAUCUGCAUCACUCAUCCAACUUUAAUAAAUAAUUUUACUCACCUUCUGCCUGUGUGUGAUUCUGCAUGUCGUGGGUCAAAAGACUUCAACCCAACAUGACAACGGGUCCUCGCCGGUCUUGCAAGACCGGGUCCUUUAAGACCGCUAAAACCGGAAGUCAGCGGCUCUGAAUUCGGACAGUCUAGCCUUCACCUCUACGGUGGCCCGUAGGUCCCGUCACAGCCGUGGCAGCAGCUACACGCAAAGAAAAAAAGCUAAAGCUAGCGAAAAUGGAGCAGGAAUAUUAAGGAGCUAGAGCAGCUUCACAUCCAUCAGCAGCUUUUGUUCACAACCGCUUUCAGGUCAGCAUGCACUGUGCUGCACAUCUGCAUCGGUGCUGGUGAGGUUGUGGGUCUGGAGGAUGAGCCUGAGGAAGAUGUGUGUGGAGGAGGUCAGUGGUGCUCUGUCCUGCAGGAGGUACCAGCAGACCACCACUACUGUUAACAGGCAAGUCAUUUAUGUA
Molecule: non-coding RNA, 2180 nt
Organism: Nothobranchius furzeri (turquoise killifish)
Lineage: Eukaryota; Metazoa; Chordata; Actinopteri; Cyprinodontiformes; Nothobranchiidae
Source: RefSeq, a predicted model, not a curated record